Molecule: ribosomal RNA, 790 nt
Filed under: uncultured bacterium
Lineage: Bacteria
Description: bacterial SSU rRNA
Rfam family: Bacterial small subunit ribosomal RNA
Source: RNAcentral
AGAGUUUGAUCAUGGCUCAGAUUGAACGCUGGCGGCAUUUACACAUGCAAGUCGAGCGGCAGGNNNGGCAACCCUGGCGGCGAGCGGCGAACGGGUGAGUAAUACAUCGGAACGUGUCCCGUAGUGGGGGAUAACCCGGCGAAAGCCGGACUAAUACCGCAUAUUCUCUACGGAGGAAAGUGGGGGACCCGCAAGGGCCUCAUGCUAUGGGAGCGGCCGAUGUCCGAUUAGCUUGUUGGUGAGGUAACGGCUUACCAAGGCGACGAUCGGUAGCUGGUCUGAGAGGAUGAUCAGCCACACUGGGACUGAGACACGGCCCAGACUCCUACGGGAGGCAGCAGUGGGGAAUUUUGGACAAUGGGGGCAACCCUGAUCCAGCCAUGCCGCGUGCGGGAAGAAGGCCUUCGGGUUGUAAACCGCUUUUGUCCGGAAAGAAAAGGCCACUCCUAAUACGGGUGGUUCUUGACGGUACCGGAAGAAUAAGCACCGGCUAACUACGUGCCAGCAGCCGCGGUAAUACGUAGGGUGCGAGCGUUAAUCGGAAUUACUGGGCGUAAAGCGUGCGCAGGCGGUUCGUGAUGUCUGGUGUGAAAGCCCCGGGCUUAACCUGGGAAUUGCAUUGGAAACUAGCGGGCUGGAGUGUGGCAGAGGGGGGUGGAAUUCCACGUGUAGCAGUGAAAUGCGUAGAGAUGUGGAGGAACACCGAUGGCGAAGGCAGCCCCCUGGGCUAACACUGACGCUCAUGCACGAAAGCGUGGGGAGCAAACAGGAUUAGAUACCCUAGUAGUCC